This 361-nucleotide long non-coding RNA is filed under the name Capsicum annuum. RNAcentral's name for it is "long non-coding RNA (CANN_LNC017772)". Lineage: Eukaryota; Viridiplantae; Streptophyta; Magnoliopsida; Solanales; Solanaceae. The record is from RNAcentral.
AAGAGUGGGAAACGGUUAUCAAGAGCUCAAGACCAUUCCCUAGGAGCCAAGCUCGGGAACUACAAUGUCUUCAAGGAAUAUUCAUGAAGAUGAAUGUGCUUAAGCAUGUCUUAAGAUUUUCCAAUGGAUUGUAUGUAUUAAAGUGUGAAGACAUUUCUUGAGUGUCUUAAACACUACAAGGCAUCCCCAUUUAUACACUCCAAACCCACCCCCUUCAUUAAGGGUAAAGGUGUCAUUUCCCAUCUCUUUAGUAAUAGACUAUAAGUAGGAUCCCCUUAGUCUUAUUUUCUUAGUUAGAUUAUUUUGAAUGAAGAUUGUAAAAUUGAAACACUAUUUUCCUCUUAAGAAGAGAGUAUACCAC